UAUCAUCAUCGGUCGUAAGGAGUCGGUCUGGUCCAAUGGAUAAUGUUCGGGCCGAUUCUGAAAACCCGACCCGGCCUAAUCUUUUCCCAAAGUCGGUCUGGUCCAACGGAUCUUCUUCUCUCGACUCACAGCCUCUCUUCCGAAUCUUCCCUUCUACUGUCGCUCAUCUUCCACGACGAAGUCAGCUCGACGACGGCCAAGAUCAGUGUUCUUUCUUCUUCCAUCAGUCGUGUCUCGCCUGUCAAAGAGAGGAGCUGAAGCUUCCUCUCCCAGCCCGACGUCGACAGCGAUUAUGGUGACAAACUCGUCCGUCGGUACUAAUUGUUCUUCCCGAAGAUACAUUGCCUGCAAACAAGAUGUGGUAUCCGAUCUCCUUCUCAUCUCUCGAUUUUUCGAUCUGGUUCCAUACCUAAGUCUUUACUCUCAACACUUGACUAGGGCAUUCACUGUAUCUUUCUUCUUACUUUGAUUCAAACAAACUGACACUAUUCAUUCCCCUUUUCUAUAUGAAUUUGACUGUCGAGAUGAGUUCAGUGGGGAGGAGGAAGGUGGGCCAUGUGACUAAUGGCUCCGGUCUAUCAAGGAUCAAGGAAGAAGGCCCUCGGCCAAGCUAGGUAACACUCACGUUUGUAUUCUAGCUUUUCCUUCCCUAUGAGCUUAUGUUGAUUUUUAUACGUGGGAUGAUUACUAGAUCACCUAGAAUGAUUGCGGAGACCCAGCUUUCUAACUGAUUCGUAUUGUUGUUUGUAGGAUUGGGUUGGUUCGAUGACUACGAGAUUGAAUUGACACUGACUAGGGGAUCUUCAACGAAAUCAAGCAAAAAGGGAGGAAUCUGAGUCGGCUACUCUGGAGGUUUGUCCCUUAACUCUUUACCGCAAUCUUAGAUGGUGAUAUUAAGCUUGUCCUUGACUCUAUUUGUCUACAGUAGGACUUGAGAAACGCAUAAAUUGAUUGGUUUGGCUGCCAACUUAGUUUGCUUAACUGUAAAAUUUGGUGAACACAACAAAAACAUUUUGGGUUGCUUGUUCUCUGAUCUUCAUGACUCCUAUUUUUGUCUCAUAAUGAGCUUCUCCGAACUAACGAUCAUGGCUGUCAGUUAAAGAGAAGACUACGGGAAAGACUAAAUUUGACCUAGUAGACCAUUGCCUAUUAGCAACAGCAUUCUACUAUGUAGUAAUAAUGGCUGAGGUUAUGAUGAUUUUGUGGUGGUUUCAAGCAUGUCAGUGGCUGAUUUUCGAGGGUAGGAGGGUAGGAACGGGUUGGUUGAUACCUUUGUUUGAUUAUCAAGAUUGACAGCAUGCUAGAGUUAACUAGGUGUGUUCGUUCAAUCUAAAGUCCUUUAAAUUUUGGGUCUAAUUCUAUCCUCCUCAUCCCUAUAUCAAACACUCGAUCUCCACUUUCUCGAUCUCCACUUUCUCGAUCUGCCUUAACCAUCUAUCGAACAGCAAAAUAGGCCCCGGACCAUUAAAUAAAUAAUAAAAAUAUUUUUUAUCGGGCGCAGACGAAAACUGGUAACCACUACUUUUUAUAGAUUAGUCAAAAUAUAAUUAUCACUUUUUAAAUGUUGUUUAUUUUUAUUUUUCAAAUCUAAUUAAAUUCAUUUUGAUUUAUUUUGUUUAUUUUUUUAGUAAAUGAUCAUAUCAUUAGUAAGUGUUAAUUACGUCUUAAGACUAACAUACUUACAAAAGUUUUCGAAAUGGAUGUUAAUUUAGAUAUUUGUGUAAAUAAAAUCCACAACUAAUUCAACAUAUAUAUUAUUCUCAUGUGACUGUUAUGUACAUUUUACAAAUUUGUUAUACCAUAUUAUGUUCACUUUACAAAUAUGUUAUGCGAACUUUACAAAUAUCUUAUGCGAUAGUUAUGUUAAUACAUAUGUUAUGUCACUGUUAUGUCCAUUUUACAAAUAUGUUGUAUCAUAUUAUAUGAACUUUUACAAAUAUGUUAUGCGACUGUUAAAUUAGUAAAUAUGUUAUGCCA
This 1977-nucleotide long non-coding RNA is filed under the name Linum usitatissimum (flax). RNAcentral's name for it is "long non-coding RNA (LUSI_LNC007844)". The record is from RNAcentral. Lineage: Eukaryota; Viridiplantae; Streptophyta; Magnoliopsida; Malpighiales; Linaceae.